UGGGGAAUUUUGGACAAUGGGCGAAAGCCUGAUCCAGCAAUGCCGCGUGUGUGAAGAAGGCCUUCGGGUUGUAAAGCACUUUUGCCCGGAAAGAAAUCCUUGGCUCUAAUACAGUCGGGGGAUGACGGUACCGGAAGAAUAAGCACCGGCUAACUACGUGCCAGCAGCCGCGGUAAUACGUAGGGUGCAAGCGUUAAUCGGAAUUACUGGGCGUAAAGCGUGCGCAGGCGGUUUGCUAAGACCGAUGUGAAAUCCCCGGGCUCAACCUGGGAACUGCAUUGGUGACUGGCAGGCUAGAGUAUGGCAGAGGGGGGUAGAAUUCCACGUGUAGCAGUGAAAUGCGUAGAGAUGUGGAGGAAUACCGAUGGCGAAGGCAGCCCCCUGGGCCAAUACUGACGCUCAUGCACGAAAGCGUGGGGAGCAAACAGGAUUAGAUACCCUGGUAGUCCACGCCCUAAACGAUGUCAACUAGUUGUUGGGGAUUCAUUUCCUUAGUAACGUAGCUAACGCGUGAAGUUGACCGCCUGGGGAGUACGGUCGCAAGAUUAAAACUUAAAUGAAUUGACGGGGUCAUAGCUGUUUCCU
This 585-nucleotide ribosomal RNA is filed under the name uncultured bacterium. RNAcentral describes it as "partial 16S ribosomal RNA". It matches the Rfam family "Bacterial small subunit ribosomal RNA", at positions 355 to 1375 of the family's 1533-position model. The record is from RNAcentral.